GUGUCUCUAUUCCCGGCGCAUGCGCAUUACGGUUAUGGUAAUUGUGUUGAUAUGUCUGCUGCUGGAUUUUAAAGAUUAUUUCUGCAGGUUUUUUGUUUUGCAGAGACUGUCCUGCUGCGGUCUGAGCUGAUGGAAAACUCCAGAGACUUGGUGGAACGGUCGUCCAGGAAACGCAGAGACUCUUUUGGAAUGCUGGAUGGUUUGGAAGAGGACCGGAGCAGCUGCAGUACAGAAUCCAGCGGAGGAAGCGGAGCCUCCAGCCCUGAGGACAGCGAGGACGAAGACCUAGGAGGAGGAGGAGGAGGGGUGACUCAACUCCCUCCCUCCUCCUCCUCACUGACACUCAUCAAGACCAACGGGCAGGUUUACACCUACCCUGAUGGAAAGGCAGGCAUGGCUACAUGUGAGAUGUGUGGCAUGGUCGGAGUCAGAGAUGCUUUCUACAGUAAAACCAAGCGGUUCUGCAGUGUGUCCUGCUCCAGAAGUUACUCCUCCAACUCCAAGAAGGCCAGCAUCCUCGCCCGACUACAGGGGGAGCUGGUCUCUGUCUCUCAGACCUGUCUCUGUGUUUUAAAGGGGAAACCUCCUACUAAGAAAGCCAAGGUUCUGCAGAAACAACCCCUCAUAACCAAACUAGCCACCUACACUCAAUCCAACCAGCAGAGUGGCGUUAAGAAGAGCAUUUCUGUGGAAGUGUUUGACUGGGGUCGUUACCUUGGAGAUGGCGAUGUCACGGGGGCACCAGUCAGCUGCUUCAAGCAUGUGCCAAUGGGGAAGUCGUGGGGCGACAUCACUGAAGGCAUUCGAGUUGAAGUGCCAAACACUGACAGCAGCCUGCCAAUGAAGGUUUACUGGAUUGCUGGCAUCAUUAAACUGGCUGGAUUCAAGGCCUUGAUGCGCUACGAAGGUUUCGACAGUGACUCCACUAGAGAUUUCUGGUUAAAUCUGUGUGUGCCGGACAUUCACCCAGUCGGCUGGUGUGCAGCUGGUGGGAAACCUCUGGUCCCCCCACAAACCAUCCUGCACAGGUUCAACAACUGGAAAACAUUUCUGAUUAAACGACUGACUGGAUCCAAAACACUCCCACCAGACUUCUCCUCCAAGGUACAGGAGAGCAUGCAGUUUCCCUUCAGGAAGCAGAUGAGGGUGGAGGUUGUGGAUAAAACUCACCUAUGUAGGACUCGGGUGGCUGUGAUUGAACAGGUGAUCGGCGGCCGUCUCCGGCUCGUGUAUGAGGAAUGUGAUGACGGGACCGACGACUUCUGGUGUCACAUGCACAGCCCUCUAAUUCACAGCAUCGGCUGGUCUCGGUCCAUCGGACACCGCUUCAAACGAUCCGGUUGGUCAGCUGACGAUUCACCAUCUGCCCACUCUAGUAAUUAUGUAGCCAAGAAGCUGGAUGGUCUGAUGGACGCUCCUGGACAGUUGUUCGCUAAGGUGAGGGAGGUGGAUCCGGAGGGUGCGUGGUUUGAAGACGGCAUGAAGCUGGAGGCCAUCGACCCCCUGAACCUGUCUGCUAUCUGUGUGGCUACGGUCAGAAAGGUCUUGGCUGAUGGGUACCUGAUGAUUGGUAUUGAUGGCUCGGAGGCAGCUGAUGGUUCAGACUGGUUCUGUUAUCAUUGCACGUCUCCCUCCAUCUUUCCUGCCGGCUUCUGUGAGAUCAACAACAUUGAGCUGACCCCACCUAGAGGUUAUACCAAUCUUCCCUUCAGGUGGUUUGAGUAUAUGAAGGAGAGUAAUUCUGUGGCAGCUCCAGUAAAUCUCUUCAACAAGGAUGUGCCUAACCACGGUUUCCGCCCGGGUAUGAAGCUUGAGGCUGUCGACCUCAUGGAGCCCCGACUGGUCUGUGUUGCUACAGUGACCCGCAUCGUUCACCGGUUGCUGCGGAUACACUUUGACGGCUGGGAGGAUGAGUAUGACCAGUGGGUGGACUGUGAAUCACCUGACCUGUACCCAGUUGGCUGGUGUCAGCUAACUGGAUACCAGCUGCAGCCUCCUGCUGUCAAUGCAGGUUUCAGAGAUCUACAGUCAGCUGUGUCCAAGCAGAGGAAGAAAUCUCAACAAUACAAAGGACAAAAGAAAAGUAAAGCGGAAGCUUCCCAUUACCAAGCGACCUGUGAGUCUCUCCAGUGUCCUGGUAACAGGCGUACCCAGGAGCUUAUCCGGAGAUGAAAAUGAGACUCCGCCCGAUUACCCGUCACCACCUACCCCCUCCUCGGCAGCCCAGCCCUCCUCUGUCCACCCAGACAGCAGCCCCAAUGCUGACGGGGGAGCAGCUUCACAGAUUAAAGAAGAGAGCAUGGAAGGGACAGAGUUAUCUUCUGAAAGGACAGGAACCGCAACCAAUGGGUCCUCGGGGGGAGACUUUUUCACCAGCCAGGACCACUAGUAGGCCUUAUCCACCCCUCACUCACUUUGAUCUUCCUAUCCCCAUCCCUUCAUAAAGUUUCUACAAUAUGAGUUUUUAUGAAUCGUGAUCAUCAAUAAACAUUUUACUGCUUCACAUGGCUGGUACCCACACACAUCAGCAAUAGAAGCUAAGUGAUUAACUAAAGGGUUGAUGGGUGUGUAACGUUGAAGCAUGGGAGUGUCCUGCUGACUUUAAUGUUCAGUCCACUCUAUCCACGGUGUCCGCUUUCUCACUUCACCUAUUAUUCUUCCACAACAACUUACCCUCCACAGGCCAGAUCACUGUAGGAGAUGUUAGUGCCACAAAGGAGGAACAAAAAAAGACGAAUGAUUUAUCAUUUGCAGCUUUGUGCCUCUGUGGGGAUGAAAGGGAUCAGGAGCCUUUUUACAUUUGUGUAUAAGGAUUUUUUUUCACUGCCAAGAUCUUUGUAUGUUGAAGAGUCAAAGCUCUUAACAUAAUGAACCAGAAGAAUAGUAAUAAUAAUAUUGUGUCAUGUUGAGAUUAGCAGUAAUUUAAAAAACUGGACUGUGUGUGUGUGUGUGUGUGUGUGUGUGUGUGUGUGUGUGUGUGUGUGUGUGUGUGUGUGUGUGUGUGUGUGUGUGUGUGUGUGUGUGUGUGUGUGUGUGUGUGUGUGUGUGUGUGAGAGAUGUUGUGUUUGAAGAACAAACCAGCAAGAGAAACAACCGCUUUGUUUUCUAAGGCACUGAUAAAAUGGCUGAGUUCAGUAGGAAUCUCAAAAUCUGCCAAAUGUGUGUUUUUACUGCAAAUACAGAUUGAUGAAAAUGUCUCAAGAGUAGCUCAAUGUUGCAUUUGUGUUCACAUUGGAUUUCUGGGUGUCGACACUGCAGCUGUGAAGUUUCACACAAGAACAACUUCAGAUGUGAAACAAAUUAUUGGUUACUUUUCAUUCA
This is an RNA transcript of Betta splendens (Siamese fighting fish), 3321 nucleotides long. It is a transcript of the gene named MBT domain-containing protein 1-like, with no coding region annotated. The record is from RefSeq and is a predicted model, not a curated record. The annotation marks the transcript as partial. Lineage: Eukaryota; Metazoa; Chordata; Actinopteri; Anabantiformes; Osphronemidae. The transcript is spliced from 18 exons.